UACGGAGGAUGCAAGCGUUAUCCGGAAUCACUGGGUGUAAAGCGUCUGUAGGUGGUUAUAUAAGUCUGCUGUUAAAGAUUAGGGCUCAACCCUAAAACAGCAGUGGAAACUGUUUAACUAGAGUAUGGUAGGGGUAGAGGGAAUUCCCAGUGUAGCGGUGAAAUGCGUAGAUAUUGGGAAGAACACCAGAGGCGAAAGCGCUCUACUGGACCAUUACUGACACUGAGAGACGAAAGCUAGGGGAGCAAAUGGG
This 253-nucleotide ribosomal RNA is filed under the name uncultured bacterium. RNAcentral's name for it is "partial 16S ribosomal RNA". It matches the Rfam family "Bacterial small subunit ribosomal RNA", at positions 524 to 776 of the family's 1533-position model. The record is from RNAcentral.